CAAGUCGAACGAUGAAGUUCCUUCGGGAAUGGAUUAGUGGCGAACGGGUGAGGAACACGUGAGAAACCUGCCUUUCAUUCUGGGAUAACACCGGGAAACCGGUGCUAAUACCGGAUACUCCGUCUUGGCGGCAUCGCCGAGCCGGGAAAAAAUUUUGAUGAAAGAUGGUCUCGCGGCCUAUCAGCUAGUUGGUGAGGUAAUGGCUCACCAAGGCGACGACGGGUAGCCGGCCUGAGAGGGCGACCGGCCACACUGGGACUGAGACACGGCCCAGACUCCUACGGGAGGCAGCAGUAGGGAAUAUUGGGCAAUGGGCGCAAGCCUGACCCAGCGACGCCGCGUGAGGGAUGAAGGUCUUCGGAUUGUAAACCUCUUUCACUAGGGAAGAAGCGAAAGUGACGGUACCUAAAGAAGAAGCACCGGCUAACUAUGUGCCAGCAGCCGCGGUAAUACGUAGGGUGCAAGCGUUGUCCGGAAUUAUUGGGCGUAAAGAGCUCGUAGGUCGUUUGUCGCGUCGAUUGUGAAAAUCUGAGGCUCAACCUCAGACCUGCAGUCGAUACGGGCAAACUAGAGUGUGGUAGGGGAGACUGGAAUUCCUGGUGUAGCGGUGGAAUGCGCAGAUAUCAGGAGGAACACCAAUGGCGAAGGCAGGUCUCUGGGCCAUAACUGACACUGAGGAGCGAAAGUGCGGGGAGCGAACAGGAUUAGAUACCCUGGUAGUCCGCACCGUAAACGGUGGGCACUAGUUGUGGGAACCUUCCACGGUUUCCGCGACGCAGCAAACGCAUUAAGUGCCCCGCCUGGGGAGUACGAUCGCAAGAUUAAAACUCAAAGGAAUUGACGG
Molecule: ribosomal RNA, 844 nt
Filed under: uncultured bacterium
Lineage: Bacteria
Description: bacterial SSU rRNA
Rfam family: Bacterial small subunit ribosomal RNA
Source: RNAcentral